This 727-nucleotide ribosomal RNA is filed under the name Lactobacillus delbrueckii subsp. bulgaricus. RNAcentral's name for it is "bacterial SSU rRNA". It matches the Rfam family "Bacterial small subunit ribosomal RNA", at positions 98 to 811 of the family's 1533-position model. The record is from RNAcentral. Lineage: Bacteria; Bacillati; Bacillota; Bacilli; Lactobacillales; Lactobacillaceae.
GCGGAUGGGUGAGUAACACGUGGGCAAUCUGCCCUAAAGACUGGGAUACCACUUGGAAACAGGUGCUAAUACCGGAUAACAACAUGAAUCGCAUGAUUCAAGUUUGAAAGGCGGCGCAAGCUGUCACUUUAGGAUGAGCCCGCGGCGCAUUAGCUAGUUGGUGGGGUAAAGGCCUACCAAGGCAAUGAUGCGUAGCCGAGUUGAGAGACUGAUCGGCCACAUUGGGACUGAGACACGGCCCAAACUCCUACGGGAGGCAGCAGUAGGGAAUCUUCCACAAUGGACGCAAGUCUGAUGGAGCAACGCCGCGUGAGUGAAGAAGGUCUUCGGAUCGUAAAGCUCUGUUGUUGGUGAAGAAGGAUAGAGGCAGUAACUGGUCUUUAUUUGACGGUAAUCAACCAGAAAGUCACGGCUAACUACGUGCCAGCAGCCGCGGUAAUACGUAGGUGGCAAGCGUUGUCCGGAUUUAUUGGGCGUAAAGCGAGCGCAGGCGGAAUGAUAAGUCUGAUGUGAAAGCCCACGGCUCAACCGUGGAACUGCAUCGGAAACUGUCAUUCUUGAGUGCAGAAGAGGAGAGUGGAACUCCAUGUGUAGCGGUGGAAUGCGUAGAUAUAUGGAAGAACACCAGUGGCGAAGGCGGCUCUCUGGUCUGCAACUGACGCUGAGGCUCGAAAGCAUGGGUAGCGAACAGGAUUAGAUACCCUGGUAGUCCAUGCCGUAAACGAUG